Molecule: ribosomal RNA, 157 nt
Filed under: Klebsiella pneumoniae IS10
Lineage: Bacteria; Pseudomonadati; Pseudomonadota; Gammaproteobacteria; Enterobacterales; Enterobacteriaceae
Description: Small Subunit Ribosomal RNA; ssuRNA; SSU rRNA
Rfam family: Bacterial small subunit ribosomal RNA
Source: RNAcentral
AGAUCAGAAUGCUACGGUGAAUACGUUCCCGGGCCUUGUACACACCGCCCGUCACACCAUGGGAGUGGGUUGCAAAAGAAGUAGGUAGCUUAACCUUCGGGAGGGCGCUUACCACUUUGUGAUUCAUGACUGGGGUGAAGUCGUAACAAGGUAACCG